UACGAAGGGGGCUAGCGUUGCUCGGAAUCACUGGGCGUAAAGGGUGCGUAGGCGGGUCUUAAGUCAGGGGUGAAAUCCUGGAGCUCAACUCCAGAACUGCCUUUGAUACUGAGGAUCUUGAGUACGGGAGAGGUGAGUGGAACUGCGAGUGUAGAGGUGAAAUUCGUAGAUAUUCGCAAGAACACCAGUGGCGAAGGCGGCUCACUGGCCCGUAACUGACGCUGAGGCACGAAAGCGUGGGGAGCAAACAGG
RNAcentral lists this ribosomal RNA (252 nucleotides) under uncultured bacterium. RNAcentral describes it as "partial 16S ribosomal RNA". It matches the Rfam family "Bacterial small subunit ribosomal RNA", at positions 524 to 776 of the family's 1533-position model. The record is from RNAcentral.